This 578-nucleotide long non-coding RNA is filed under the name Homo sapiens (human). RNAcentral's name for it is "non-protein coding lnc-TLR1-1:1". Lineage: Eukaryota; Metazoa; Chordata; Mammalia; Primates; Hominidae. The record is from RNAcentral.
AUUACUGGAAAAGGCAAGAGUAGAGCUAUCAGAAUGUCUUCCUUGAACAUGCUGUCAACAAACCCCAGGAUUUUUAUAAACCCUAUGUGAAAAACACGCUAAGAAUCUCUUUUCUUCUUAGCAUAUUUUUCACUUAGGGUUUACAAAAAUAUGUUUUGAAGAAAGCUUGAAAAGAUCAGUGGAAAAAAAUUCAGCACCAAAUUUUCUCUGAAAAUCAACUUGUCAAAAAAGACGUGAUUAACAUCCAUCCUGUAACCAGCACAUGAAUGAUCUUCCCUCUUUACGAGUGUGCUUCAGCAAAACUUUAAUCUCGACCCCUCCCUCUUUCCACUUUUAAUAGUGGAUGGAUGAAAAGGCAAGAGGAAAAACAAAGCAGCCGAAACACACCCAGACGCACACUUCUGCCAAGCAUAGCCACCACGUGUUAAAGAAAAUGAGAUAUAAGUCAGUUACUCCCGGAGGCAAUGCUGCUGUUCAGCUCUUCUGUUUUUGUGGCCAGGGUCUUCAUGAACACUAAUAGGGGUACCAGGCCCUCUUCCUCGUUAGAAGAAAUCAGGAUAACAAAGGCAUAUUGGGCA